GAAAUUUUGAAAUAGCUUGCAAGGCUAAGAGAAGCAAAAGCAAGGAAAGACCAUAGUCAAGAUGGAUGGUGCAAUUAAAGAAACUAAUAGGAUGUUGUUGGAAGAGCUGCAAGCUAUUGUCAGGGGCAGGUCAACCGUAUCUGCAUUUCUGUUCGUCUGUGUGUACCUUUUUGGGGGGGAUCCAAACUGUUAACACAGCUUACUUUUUAUUCCUAAGGAACGAGAACGGGAGCGGGAGCGGGAGAACAGACAGCGGGAGCGGGAACGGGAGCGGGAGCGUGAACGGGAGCGGGAGCGGCGGCAGAGAGAACGGGAGCGAGAGAGGGAACGCGAGCGGGACAAAGAGCGCCAGAGGAGGAAAGAGGAGUGGGAAAGAGAGAAGGAGCGCAUCAAAAGAGACGAGAAGGACCGGCAGCACAGAGACAGAGACCGGGACAGAGAGAGAGAGCGGGACAAGGAGAAAGAGAAACCAAAACCUCGAUCGCCGCAACCACCCAGCCGCCAGCCUGAGCCACCAAAGAAAGAGAAGGAGGCUGCCACAACCACCCCUUCUCAAUCCAAGAGAGCCGAUGAGUGGAAAGACCCUUGGCGCCGGUCCAAAUCCCCCAAAAAGAAGCACGGCUUGUCGGUUUCGCCCAGCCACGCCCGAAGGCGCCGGAAAACCUCGGCCUCCUCAGCCUCUGGCUCAGGUUCUUCAAGGUCAUCGUCUCGUUCCUCCUCCUACUCUGGAUCUGGUUCUUCACGGUCGCGGUCUCGAUCUUCCUCGUACAGCUCCUACUCUAGUCGCUCUUCCAGGCACAGCUCCUUCUCAGGCAGUCGCUCCAGGUCACGGUCCUUUUCAUCUUCUCCAUCUCCUUCCCCAACACCAUCUCCACACAAACCUCUUUCCAAAGCUAAAGGGGAGCCUGCACCACCAGCUGGAAAGGGCGAGAAGCCCGCAAAGAAGCUGCCCGUCCCCCCAGCGCCUCCUGCAGUGA
RNAcentral lists this long non-coding RNA (977 nucleotides) under Salvator merianae (Argentine black and white tegu). RNAcentral's name for it is "lncRNA (ENSSMRG00000006809.1)". Lineage: Eukaryota; Metazoa; Chordata; Lepidosauria; Squamata; Teiidae. The record is from RNAcentral.